AGCAGCCGCGGUAAUUCCAGCUCCAAUAGCGUAUAUUAAAGUUGUUGCAGUUAAAAAGCUCGUAGUUGAAUUUCGGGGUUAGUAGGCUGGUCGUGCCACUGGUAUGUACUGGUCUUACUGACUUCUCCUUUCUGAAGAACUGUAAUGCCAUUAAUUUGGUGUUGCAGGGAAUCAGGACUGUUACUUUGAAAAAUUAGAGUGUUUAAAGCAGGCUAACGCUUGAAUACAUUAGCAUGGAAUAAUGAAAUAGGACGUUCGAUCCUAUUUUGUUGGUUUCUAGGAUUGACGUAAUGAUUAAUAGGGAUAGUUGGGGGCAUUAGUAUUCAAUUGUCAGAGGUGAAAUUCUUGGAUUUAUUGAAGACUAACUACUGCGAAAGCAUUUGCCAAGGAUGUUUUCAUUAAUCAAGAACGAAAGUUAGGGGAUCGAAGACGAUCAGAUACCGUCGUAGUCUUAACCAUAAACUAUGCCGACUAGGGAUCGGAUGAUGUUAAUUUUUAAUGACUCAUUCGGCU
RNAcentral lists this small RNA (513 nucleotides) under uncultured Glomus. RNAcentral describes it as "SSU rRNA". It matches the Rfam family "Eukaryotic small subunit ribosomal RNA", at positions 569 to 1085 of the family's 1831-position model. The record is from RNAcentral. Lineage: Eukaryota; Fungi; Glomeromycota; Glomeromycetes; Glomerales; Glomeraceae.